ACGUGGUCGCCACGCUGGUCGAAGUGGUGCUGGUGCUGUCGGUGCUGGCCAUCAAGUUCGAUGCCUGGUUUGCGUG
Molecule: transfer RNA, 76 nt
Filed under: Acidovorax sp. NB1
Lineage: Bacteria; Pseudomonadati; Pseudomonadota; Betaproteobacteria; Burkholderiales; Comamonadaceae
Description: tRNA-Asp
Source: RNAcentral